This 290-nucleotide ribosomal RNA is filed under the name uncultured bacterium. RNAcentral describes it as "partial 16S ribosomal RNA". It matches the Rfam family "Bacterial small subunit ribosomal RNA", at positions 773 to 1060 of the family's 1533-position model. The record is from RNAcentral.
GUGGAUUAGAUACCCGGGUAGUCCACGCCGUAAACGAUGGGCACUAGAUGCUUGGGGGAGCGACCCUCCGAGUGUCGGCGCUAACGCAUUAAGUGCCCCGCCUGGGGAGUACGGCCGCAAGGCUGAAACUCAAAGGAAUUGACGGGGGCCCGCACAAGCGGUGGAGCAUGUGGUUUAAUUCGACGCAACGCGAAGAACCUUACCUGGGCUUGACAUGCACGGGAAACGCCUCAGAAAGGGGGCGCCCUCUUCGGAGUCCGUGCACAGGUGCUGCAUGUCUGUCGACAGCU